UGUAGAUACUCUCUAAGGCUU
Molecule: microRNA, 21 nt
Filed under: Brachypodium distachyon (stiff brome)
Lineage: Eukaryota; Viridiplantae; Streptophyta; Magnoliopsida; Poales; Poaceae
Description: bdi-miR5200c
Source: miRBase by way of RNAcentral